AUACGUAGGGAGCGAGCGUUGUCCGGAAUUACAGGGCGUAAAGGGCGCGUAGGCGGCGCUUCAAGUCGUCUGUCAAAUGGAAGGGCUUAACCCUUUUUCGCAGACGAAACUGGAGAGCUUGAGAAGCAGAGAGGCAAACAGAAUUCCUGGUGUAGCGGUGAAAUGCGUAGAUAUCAGGAAGAAUACCAGUGGCGAAGGCGGUUUGCUGGCUGCAUACUGACGCUGAAGCGCGAAAGCCAGGGGAGCGAACGGGAUUAGAUACCCCGGUAGUCCUGGCAGUAAACGAUGUAUGCUGGGUGUGAGACUAGCGAUAGUUUCGUGCCGAAGUUAACGCGAUAAGCAUACCGCCUGGGGAGUACGGUCGCAAGAUUGAAACUCAAAUGAAUUGACGGGG
Molecule: ribosomal RNA, 394 nt
Filed under: uncultured bacterium
Lineage: Bacteria
Description: partial 16S ribosomal RNA
Rfam family: Bacterial small subunit ribosomal RNA
Source: RNAcentral